CAGAAUGCGUCCUUGGACUAAAUUAGCUUAAAGUUGUCAGCAGGAAGUCGUCACUGGAAAUCCUCUUUAGUGUACGUCCAGGUGUCAGCGGGGUCUGCAAAUCCAGCUCAUGCAGCUUUAAAUAAAUCCAGGAAUGUGGCAGUAAGCUUCCAGUGAGGCCAGUAAAAUGUAAAUAAGCCAAAGACCAAUGAAAAAUAACGACGUCACCAGUUUGCAAGUCCGUGGACCACCCAGCUCUCCUCCAGCCACCGAGGGGCGGCGGCGAUACAGCAGCACGCUCACACUCACCACACAUAGCGCAGUGAAGAGUGUGACAGAGAACGCCAGAGAGCCUGGGUCCACGUAGAAGGCUUUGCCCUUGCUGCGCCAGUACACAGCGGCGAUGGUCCAUGCCACACCGAUGCCCAGGAACACGUUCACCGCGUUGCUGCCCGUCACAUUCCCAAUGGAAGCGUCAGCAUACUGGUCCUGAAUGGCAGCUACCUUACUGGCAAAGGUGUCUGUGGAAGACAGGAAAAGAAGGAAGGAAUAUAGUUUGAUCAGACCUUUAAUAAAUGAAUUUAUCUUGCUAACAGGCUACAACAUAUCCAUCCAUUCAACCAUCCAUUUUUCAUACCGCUUAUCAUACACAGGGUCGCUGGGGAGCCUGGAGUGUAUCGCAGGGAACUCGGGGGACAACCUGGACAGGGUGCUGACCCAUCGCAGGGCACAAUCUCACACACUAUGGACAAUUUGGAAAUGCCAAUCAGCCUACAGCACAUGUCUUUAGACUGGAGAAGAAACCGGUACUCAGAGGAAACCCUCGAAGCACAGAGAGAGGUGGCAUUUGGAACCCCAACCCUGUAGACCUGGUACUGAUGUGCCCAGUGCUACAAACACCACGGCGGUAACGGAGUCCUUCAGGCCGAUGGUGCAGCCGAAGUGAGAGGCCAGAUCACCCGUCACUGCUGUUAACAUGCCAAUCAAACAGAUCGAUACG
Ictalurus punctatus (channel catfish) is the source of this 979-nucleotide long non-coding RNA. RefSeq lists it as uncharacterized. Lineage: Eukaryota; Metazoa; Chordata; Actinopteri; Siluriformes; Ictaluridae. The record is from RefSeq and is a predicted model, not a curated record. The transcript is spliced from 3 exons.